Molecule: ribosomal RNA, 406 nt
Filed under: uncultured bacterium
Lineage: Bacteria
Description: partial 16S ribosomal RNA
Rfam family: Bacterial small subunit ribosomal RNA
Source: RNAcentral
AUUGAACGCUGGCGGCAGGCCUAACACAUGCAAGUCGAACGAGUGGCGGACGGGUGAGUAAUGUCUGGGAAACUGCCCGAUGGAGGGGGAUAACGACUGGAAACGGUAGCUAAUAACGCAUACUAUCGGAUGCGCACAGAUGGGAUUGGCUAGUAGGGGGGGUAACGGCGCACUUAGGCGACGAUCCCGAGCUGGUCUGAGUGGAAGACCAGCCAAACUGGAACUGAGACACGGUCCAGACUCCUACGGAAGGCAGCAGUGGGAAAUAUUACACAAUGGGCGCAAGCCUGAUGCAGCCAGGCCGCGUGUAUGAAGAAGGCAUUCGGGUUGUAAAGUACUUUCAGCGAGGAGGCGUUACUCGCAGAAGAAGCACCGGCUAACUCCGUGCCAGCAGCCGCGGUAAUAC